AAUAAACCUCGACCCCCCAAAGGCCUUCACUGUGCCGUGGUGGGUUGGACUUGGACGCUGCCUUCCCUGCUAUGAAGGCUCGUCGUGAAAUGUAUCAGCUGUUUCCUCGUACGCAGACAACGGUGUGAUAAGAAAACUCGCUAGCAUCUGUGUCACAUGGGGAUGGCUUCCAGUCGUCUUCGGACAAAACACCCUAGA
Molecule: unclassified non-coding RNA, 198 nt
Filed under: uncultured Hysterangium
Lineage: Eukaryota; Fungi; Basidiomycota; Agaricomycetes; Hysterangiales; Hysterangiaceae
Description: sequence contains ITS2
Source: RNAcentral